RNAcentral lists this transfer RNA (73 nucleotides) under Capitella teleta. RNAcentral's name for it is "tRNA-Val for anticodon UAC". It matches the Rfam family "tRNA". Rfam says of the family: Transfer RNA (tRNA) molecules are approximately 80 nucleotides in length. Their secondary structure includes four short double-helical elements and three loops (D, anti-codon, and T loops). Lineage: Eukaryota; Metazoa; Annelida; Polychaeta; Capitellidae. The record is from Rfam by way of RNAcentral.
GGUUCCGUGGUGUAGUGGUUAUCACGUCUGCCUUACACGCAGAAGGUCCCGGGUUCGAACCCCGGUGGAACCU